AUUCUUAAGUCGAUGCAAGCCCGUCACUGAGUCAUGGACUAGACUAGUCAGACGAACGGAUCAUGUACGAUGAUGGUAGGAUUGAGACUUCAAUUGCGAAGCGCCUUUCUGUUCUUAACUGAACUUAAGCCGCAAGCUGGGGAUCAACUAGAUUAGAUGCCUCGUUCAGUCCCCCCCGUAAUCGAUGAGUGCUACGUUGUAGGGGUUUCCGUCCCCUAGUCUCGCAGCUACCGCUUUAAGCACUCCCCUUGCGGAGUACGGUCGCAAGACUUGAAAUCUCAAAGAAGUGACGGGCGGCCCGCACCAGCCGUUGCAGCAUGUGUUUUAUUCGAAAGCAACGCGAAGAACCUUCCAGCUCUUGACAUCCCGUUGACCACUGUAGAGAUAUGGUUUUCCUUCGGGGGCAACGGUGACAGGUGGUGCAUGGUUGUCGUCAGCUCGUGUCGUGAGAUGUUGGGUUAAGUCCCGCAACGAGCGCAACCCUUGAUCUUAGUUGCCAUCAUUUAGUUGGGCACUCUAAGGUGACUGCCGGUGACAAACCGGAGGAAGGUGGGGAUGACGUCAAAUCAUCAUGCCCCUUAUGACCUGGGCUACACACGUGCUACAAUGGACGAUACAAACGGUUGCCAACUCGCGAGAGGGAGCUAAUCCGAUAAAGUCGUUCUCAGUUCGGAUUGUAGGCUGCAACUCGCCUACAUGAAGCCGGAAUCGCUAGUAAUCGCGGAUCAGCAUGCCGCGGUGAAUACGUUCCCGGGCCUUGUACACACCGCCCGUCACACCACGAGAGUUUGUAACACCCGAAGUCGGUGAGGUAACCUUUUGGACCAGCCGCGAAG
Molecule: ribosomal RNA, 836 nt
Filed under: Bacillus sp. A8
Lineage: Bacteria; Bacillati; Bacillota; Bacilli; Caryophanales; Bacillaceae
Description: bacterial SSU rRNA
Rfam family: Bacterial small subunit ribosomal RNA
Source: RNAcentral